AGAUGGCAUCUGAUCUAUGUUAAAGAUUUAUCGGUAUAAGAUGGGCAUGCGUCUGAUUAGCUAGUUGGCGGUGUAACGGACCACCAAGGCGACGAUCAGUAGGGGUUCUGAGAGGAAGGUCCCCCACACUGGCACUGAGAUACGGGCCAGACUCCUACGGGAGGCAGCAGUAGGGAAUAUUGGGCAAUGGUCGGAAGACUGACCCAGCCAUGCCGCGUGCAGGAAGACGGCCCUCUGGGUUGUAAACUGCUUUUAUCUGGGAAGAAAAGGGCCAUGCGUGGCAAAUUGCCGGUACCAGAUGAAUAAGCACCGGCUAACUCCGUGCCAGCAGCCGCGGUAAUACGGAGGGUGCAAGCGUUGUCCGGAUUUAUUGGGUUUAAAGGGUGCGUAGGCGGCUGAUUAAGUCAGCGGUGAAAGACUUCGGCUUAACCGGAGCAGUGCCGUUGAUACUGGUUAGCUUGAGUGUUGGAGGGGUACAUGGAAUUGAUGGUGUAGCGGUGAAAUGCAUAGAUACCAUCAGGAACACCGAUAGCGAANGCAUUGUACUGGCCAACAACUGACGCUGAUGCACGAAAGUGUGGGGAGCAAACAGGAUUAGAUACCCUGGUAGUCCACACCGUAAACGAUGAUUACUCGCUGUUAUGGAGUAUUCUGUAGUGGCCAAGCGAAAGCGUUAAGUAAUCCACC
RNAcentral lists this ribosomal RNA (687 nucleotides) under Algoriphagus sp. NDS_0-1. RNAcentral's name for it is "bacterial SSU rRNA". It matches the Rfam family "Bacterial small subunit ribosomal RNA", at positions 182 to 873 of the family's 1533-position model. The record is from RNAcentral. Lineage: Bacteria; Pseudomonadati; Bacteroidota; Cytophagia; Cytophagales; Cyclobacteriaceae.